AACGAACGCUGGCGGCAUGCCUAACACAAUGCAAGUCGAACGAGACCUUCGGGUCUAGUGGCGCACGGGUGCGUAACGCGUGGGAAUCUGCCCUUGGGUUCGGAAUAACAGUUAGAAAUGACUGCUAAUACCGGAUAAUGUCUUCGGACCAAAGAUUUAUCGCCCAGGGAUGAGCCCGCGUAGGAUUAGCUAGUUGGUGAGGUAAAGGCUCACCAAGGCGACGAUCCUUAGCUGGUCUGAGAGGAUGAUCAGCCACACUGGGACUGAGACACGGCCCAGACUCCUACGGGAGGCAGCAGUGGGAUAUUGGACAAUGGGCGAAAGCCUGAUCCAGCAAUGCCGCGUGAGUGAUGAA
RNAcentral lists this ribosomal RNA (355 nucleotides) under uncultured bacterium. Its description in RNAcentral is "bacterial SSU rRNA". It matches the Rfam family "Bacterial small subunit ribosomal RNA", at positions 29 to 412 of the family's 1533-position model. The record is from RNAcentral.